GGACCCGCACAAGCGGUGGAUGAUGUGGAUCAAUUCGAUGCAACGCGAAGAACCUUACCUACCCUUGACAUGCCAGGAAGCCCGAUGAGAGUUGGGUGUGCCCGAAAGGGAGCCUGGACACAGGUGCUGCAUGGCUGUCGUCAGCUCGUGUCGUGAGAUGUUGGGUUAAGUCCCGCAACGAGCGCAACCCUUGUCACUAGUUGCUACGAAAGGGCACUCUAGUGAGACUGCCGGUGACAAACCGGAGGAAGGUGGGGAUGACGUCAAGUCCUCAUGGCCCUUAUGGGUAGGGCUUCACACGUCAUACAAUGGCGCAUACAGAGGGCUGCCAACCCGCGAGGGGGAGCCAAUCCCAGAAAGUGCGUCGUAGUCCGGAUUGCAGUCUGCAACUCGACUGCAUGAAGUCGGAAUCGCUAGUAAUCGCGGAUCAGCAAUGCCGCGGUGAAUACGUUCCCGGGUCUU
RNAcentral lists this ribosomal RNA (462 nucleotides) under uncultured bacterium. RNAcentral's name for it is "bacterial SSU rRNA". It matches the Rfam family "Bacterial small subunit ribosomal RNA", at positions 917 to 1382 of the family's 1533-position model. The record is from RNAcentral.